UUCCCUCCCUAGUGCAGACACUCUGGCUUAGGAGGUGAAGUAGGGUGUAAGAGGGAAGCAUAGCUACAAAGUUUGUUAAGGAGGCAAACCUUUGUGGCAGUCCUAAGUUAGAAACCCUGAAAGGACAUUAGGCCGAAUCUGGAUGUGGGCUCUCGUGGGGUUAGGUGGGUGUCUUUUCCUGAGGUCAGAAUCUCGGGAAAUAAGAUACCAACUGGGGUGGUAAGAAAGGCUGAUUUUAUGGUCCUGUGGUAGGGGCACUCUUAAACUCCAUUUUAAAAAUAGGUUAAGCCUCUAUAGGAAUGCUGAUAUCCAUGGUGGUAGUAAUGAGAGAAGACUGACCAGCCAGUUGUCAGGGGACCCAGAGGGAAGAGUAACUAUCACUGGAUAGUCACUACUCCUGACCCUAAGGGACACGGGGAAUUAGGAAGAAAGUUACUUCUUCCUUUCUCCUGAAUUAGCAUCCUAUCCCUGUAAGGGCCCUGGAACAUAGAAACAAUAUUGCAGAAACAACUAAAAAAUGGUCCAAUUGUAUUUUAAGACCUUUAGGAUUUGGGAUCUAAUCUUGAGGCUGAAUACCCUUCAAUAGUCAAGGUUCUGGCAGGGGUAUCAGAGUAGCAGGAGUCUUUGGUGGAGGAUGAUACAGAUAUUGUGAGGCAAGUAGUCACCGUAAAUGGCAUCCCCAUGGUCUGCUUAGAUGCUCUUAAUAUAGGAGAGGUACUAGAUGUAUAUUGUGAGUUACACAUCAUGUUCUAAAGUGGAAAAAAUCUUUUUUUUUUUUUUGGUGAUUUGCUUCUUUCACCUUUUAGCUCUCUCCUCCACGUUAACAUCACCGAAGUGCCUAAAAUUAGGAUAAGCUGUUUGUUCCACACUGAACAAUCACUGCUCUCUGUGAUGCUAGACUAGGUGGUAAAGAGUGCUGGAUUCUGAUGGGAUCCUGGGGUUGAAUUGCUAAGUAUCUAAAUGUUGUCCCUCCCUGCAGUUGUGAAAUUGUCUGAUGAAGCUAAAAGCCUCCAGAACCCAGAUUACAGCUGGUGAGAGGGAGCUUGCAGAGGUAUCAGGCCCAUGGGAGACUGGAUUAUGAUCAGAAAAUGGGCAGGGACUUGAACUGGCAGUGGAGUAAAAAGACUUGUCCCUAAGCUCUGGGUGCCGGUUGGAUCCUUUGCAAUCUCUGACAAGAGGACAUAGAGCUGCCUCUUUAGAGCAGAAUGCUGAAAGACAAAAGGCCAGUUGUUCCCAUGUUAGGUGAGGAUACAUACCCUUGAAAGUGCCAGUUCCUAGGUUGAUGGUAACUGGAAGAGCUUUUAGAGUAACUUUGAAGAAGUCAGAGAAUAGGUUAGAAAACAUAGGAAUAGAAAUUGCUUGUCAUUUGGGGUAAGUCAAGUGGGAAAGGGAAUUACUUGUAUUAACUGGAUUUGCGGACCUUGCCUUUAUGGGUAGUCAGAUGAUACUCUUCUUAGCUUUCUACUUGGGCAGAAACUAUAUGAAAGAUAAGUUAACAGUGAGGAAGCAGAAAAAGCUUAGAAGGAGAAGGCCAUGGCAGAAACCAGAGACAAAACCAGAAUGAAACCUCCUUCCUUCUCUCUCUGUGCUUUUUUCUUCUUUCCCUUCCUUCCUGCAAACACUUGAGUGUCUACUGCAUGCCAAGUUCUAGCUAGGAACUGAAGAUAAAAGAUGAACAAGACUCAUUCCCUGCUCUGGGAGAGCUCAUAUGUAGUGGGAAGAUAAAAUCAUGGCUGACUAUAGGGCAUGAGGGUGAGAAAUGGGUUUCUAAGGACUGCCUUUUCUGUGUAGGUAAGGAGGGAGCUAAGAAAAUAGAGAUGCUCAGAAUGGGUUCUGACAUUACCUUCGUAAUUGCCACAGAGCUGAGGGCGGAGGACCAGCUGACACAUGUAGGCUAAAGAUUCACCCCAUCCUCUCUCUGGGUAGUGAUACUGGUCGGGGGUCUGAAGAGAAUCAGGAAUAGGAUGCUUCCUGUGUCCCCUGUGCCACACUCAGGCACUGUGGCAAAGGUAAUGUACCUUUGUGUUGCUGUGGGUUGUCCAGCUGUAGCUCAUCUUGAAUUUUCUCUCUUGGUCAUUAUGUGCAAAAAGGGAGAACAAGGAAGUUGUGGGAGUUUGGGAAGAUACAAAACAAAGAAGAAAGAAGAAACAUCCUUAUCCCCAAACAACAACAGCCGCAAAAUUGAAGAAAAACAUUUUGGUAUUCCGUUUAUGGGUCCCCAGAGUCCAGGAACCUCAAGGAACAGCCCAGGGAUCAGAGAACAAACAAUGCUCUUAUAAGAGAAUAUUCUACUAGCAUUUAAGGACAAGUUGAGGGUCUCUGCUGAGGCUAGGGGAGGAACAGAACAAAAAGCUGCUAGGUUUUCACCCUUUGAUGAGAGGACCUCUUUUGGGGAGGUGGUUUUGUGCAGGUAUUUACAAACUUCUUAUGGGUGUAGGGUCAGAGAGUUCCUGGAAUGUAGGCCUUCUGAGUGAGUCACGUUUGUCAUGAAUCUAGGUUUGAUUUGUAAAGCAGGCAUUGAAAAGUAGCUGUAAGUUUCCAGAGUUUUGGGGUAACCAGAUUGGAAGGUCCUAGCUAGACCUGGGAGAACUUUCCUACAUGGUUUAUUCUGGAAGUAUUUGCUGUUGCUGAAGCUCACUGGAGGAGGGAUGUAUAGUUGCUUGGCCACAGCCUGAAAGAACCUGAAAUUAAGGCACUGGCUGGAUAGAUACCCCAACCCAUAGACACGAAAGCCAGGUGAAGGACAUUGACUCUUAUUACGGUCAUUUUACCAAAUAUUUUGAAGGGUGUUUGGUGUACCGAGGUCCUGUAAUGGUAGUCGGGGCUCUUGGAUAUCUUUACUAAACAACAGCACCACAUUUUUCUCAUUUGCCAUGGGCCAUUGAAAGCUUUCACAAAAUUGCCACAGUCCUUGGACAGCAUUUAAUGCCCACUGAUCUAUCUCUGCUCUAUAGCCUCAACUACAAGGGUGUGAGGUCAGUAGCUUCCCCAUCUUUGCUGCUUUGAGCAGAUGGCCGAGGAAGGAGUUCUGCAUCACCAAGAAUAUGGCCAGAGACUUUGUGAAGAUUCUGAAAUGUCUGGCUUAUGGAUUGAUUAGGGGUUCUCACCCUGCUUUCUUCUAUAGGACGUGCUUCUCUACGGCCGUUUAAGCAGAUUUCAUAGCAUCUUGAUCUUUUAUAAAGUUUGGAAGUUUGUUUUCUGGCUUCUCAUAGUUCCUUUUUGCUGUGUGUACUGCCUUUUUCUCAGAUGAUGUUGGCUCUUCUCCCAACGGACUGUUCUUUGGGAAAAGGCCAGACAAUUUACAACUACAGUGAAAAACAACAAACAAAAUAAACCCCCCAGAACUGUGUGUCUUACCACUUUUGGCAUCUGGUUUUGUUUUGUUUUCCUUUAAGUGGUGGUUAGUUUCUGUACCCAAAGGGUUGCAAUUCUAAUGACAUACUUUCUGGUAUCCUUGCCUGGGAAUAGUGCAUGAUGGGUUCCAAUCUGUAGUCUCUCAUCAACCCCUCACACUUAUUUAAUUGUUAGAAGAACUACUUAUUGAAAGGCCAUGCCAUUGAGUUUCUCCUGGGUAGCUGGCAAGGAUACCAGCUUCAAAACUGAAAAUAUUAGAUGUGAAGAUAUUUUGAACAAGGAACAAGAAUCCUGUGUUCUAGUCCUGGCACUGCCAUUAUUAUCCAUGAGAACUCUGGCAAGUCUCCAGAUUUCUUUGGGUUGUGGUCUCGUCAUGGGUAAAAAUACCUACCUCACAGGGUUGUUGUGAGGAUUAAAUGUGCUCUGUAAUCUGUUGUACUAUAUAAAUAUUUGCAAUUUUUUAUGAUUUAAGAGCCAUUUAAAGAUAUUCCCUGGCCACAUGGCAGACAUGCCAACAUUUGUGCUAUCCGAUCAAGGGUUUUCAUGGUCAUGUACUGCAUAUUUAAAUCGCUGAAGCAAAAUUUUAUGUUUUUACAUAAAUAUUUUUGGGUGAAGAGGGUCUGUAGCUUUCACUGGUUUUCUAAAGGGGGUCUCUUAUCAGAAAAAAGGUAAAACCCAGUGCUUUAGAUUGAAAAGUGAGAUUCAGUAAUGGGAAUAAAUUUGCUUCCAGAAGAUCCCUCUUAACAUGUUUACAGUAGUAGUUGCAAUGCUUUUUUGAUAGUGAAAUUCUUAAUGUGACCUAAUGAUUGGGUGUACCAAACAUUUGAAAUUGGGACAGAAAAUUUUUGGCCAAGUGGUCAUGAUAGCCAUUAGGUUAUCCAACUGUCUAUAGUGUGAAGGUGGAGGUAAAACAAAUUAUUAGCUAUGUGGCCCUAAGAAAGUCACCUUAUCUCAUGGAGUCUGUUACUUCAUUUGUAAAGUGAAGGAUUUGACCUUGAAGAUUUCCAAGGUUCCUGGUUUGAAUUCUCUAGGGAAGUGAGAUCAAAGCUGGACUUGGAUGCAGCCUUGUUAUAGCAGAAGUGAAUCAGGUUUUGUGUAAGAGGAAAAAGAGGGAGUGUCAGGGAGAGGAGGAGGGGCAGAGCAACCAAGAAACCCCCUUCUUGAUAAACAUGGCAAACAAGAGCCUGCUGCGGUGAAGAGCCAGGGUAAUUGGGGCAGAAAGAGAGUUGGGAGGCUACUUCUGAAGAUCCAGGAAUUUGGUGGCCAGAGACUCAAUCUCCAGAACAAUCUCCAGAACAAUCUCCAGUGAGCCAACACCCCAUCUUCUCUGCACUCACAGAACUUCCAGUUCUCAUAGGAGCAAAUGCCUGGAGUCUUCCCUCUUCCCAUAUCAGUAUUUGGAAGAUGUGGCUCCUUGGUUUGGAAGCAGCACUGGCUGAGACACAGUUCUUUGGAAACUGACAAGUCUUCUACAACUUCGAUUUCAAUGACCUACCCUGUGGAUGGACCUUGGUUUAUUUAACCAGUGGGCUGUUGCCCACAGGUUACCAGACCUAAGAACCUACCUCUAGAAAGGGACUGGCUGUCACCUGGAUGCACCCUAACAGCCCCCACAGUAUGAUGUUCUCUUGUCUCCUAUUGGUCAGGGCAUGAGUACAUUUGUGAUUAAAUGAGGGAUUGGUGGAUUAUGUCACAUGAGGGAAUCUUUGGGAUUAGAUGUUUCUGCUAAUGGAGCAGAGGAUACCAGCUGAGUGGCCAAACCCUGCUUGGAGCAUCAUCCCAUGUCACUCUGGAGUGAGAAUGCCAUCAUGGUGGAGGCUCUGGUGUGCUGCUCUGACCACCACCACCCCUGCAGUUUCUGGGCACUCAUUCCCCUCGUUGCCAACAGGUCAUAGAUAAAAUUCAUUUCCAGAAACUCCUUAGCUAAAAGGACCCACCAUGAUCACGUGACCCACCAAGGUCACGGCCCUUUCCCUGGGGUAGUUUUCAUCCAACGAUUGGAUGAUGAGGAGCUAUAAUUACCUGCCCUCUUACCCUCAGUUUGGGACAACUCUUCAGGGCUCUUCCAGUUCUAGAGCUCUGUGUGGCCUGUGCUGAGGCCUGUGUUGGGACUGUAGGGCUGCUCUGCUCUCUCUACCCAGCUCUGCUUUCCUCUUUUCACCCCCAAAGGUGCAUCUCCCACCAGGACCUUCCAGUAACCUUCCUCCUUGCACAUGGCCCGCUCAGUGUCUGCUUCCGGGGGAACCCAAUCUGUGGCAGGCACUAAGUUUACAUUUUUGGCCUGACAAAGAGUUUAUGUGCAUAGUGUGUCUUACAGAGAGACAAUACAAGUUAAAAAAUAUCAGUUCUAAUUGCAAUACUUACAGGUUUCUCCACAAUACUUACGUGGCUACAUAGCUAGCCUUUCCAAGUGGAGUCAGAUCCAGCCUGGAGCUCUCACUUGAGGAAGUCAACAAGAAGUGUUCUGUGUUUGCCAUUUCCUAGGACUCUUACCCCAUCAUUUGGUUGUCCCAGGUCUGAGCCCGGUUGAUGGGGAGGUGGAUGGGUCCCUCCCAGGCAGGCCGUGCAUCUCGGGGCGCCCCUCACCGUGUGCUGGCUGUGGACCAUCCGUGCUCCCUCGGUACUGAUACGGGUCCACGGCCCCCUGUGUGGCCACACGUGCCCUUCUCUUUAUGGAGGAGGAAAAAGACUUUUACAACCUAUUUCCUCUCUUGAAAUUUGAGGCUUUAUUCCACAGUUUCCUUAUUCACAACGAGGGGAUUUUAUCCCUUACGCAGUGACGCUGGCUCCUGGCCAGUCUGGAGCAGCCUCAGGAGAGUGCAGGGCCGUGGCCCAGCUGGCUGACUUCACGUUUCCCUGGAGAGGAAACAGCUGUCACCUUCUCCACUCAGGAAGCACAGGUGUAGAAGUGACCUCUGAUUCCUUUGCUGGGGGUCGGCGACUCAGUUUUUAGGAGGAUUCCUACCUCUUUUUCCUGGUUUAGGUUCCAAGAUGGGCCCCCUCCUCCCCUACAUUAUGUUGGGUACAAAGCCACUGCCAACAGAAGGAUCAAAGUACAGUUUAGCUACCGUUAUGGGUUCAGUUGUGCGCCCCACCCCCCAUCCCCAAAGAUAUGUUGAAGAAUUAACUCCAGUACCUCUGAGUGUGACUCUUUGGAAAUAAGAUCUUUGCAGAUGUACCGAGUUCAGAGGAGGUCAUCCCGGAGAAGGGUGGGCCCUUUAUCCAAUAGGGUUGGCAUCCUUAUAAGAGAAAGAGAGAUCCAGAGACACAGACUCAGGAGAGGAGAACGCCACGUGAUGCCGAAGUGGACCCUAAGGUGCUGCAGCCGCAAGACUGGGAACCCCAAGGACCAGAGUAGGAGGAGGCCAGGAAGGAUUCUCCUUUAUGGGUCUCAGAGGAGCCUGGCUCAGCUGAUACCUUCAGGUUAGACUUCUGGACUUCGACAGCAUGAGACAAUAAAUACAUUUCUGCUGUAAUGUAUUUCUGACAUUCUGUCAGAAUUCUGUAUCCCCCUCAUUUGUGGUACUUUGUUACCUUAAGGAAGUCAGUAAUGGGAACAUCCCUAAGGAAAUGAAUACAGCCAUUAUUGCAAAACCUUUAACUAGAUAGCUCUGGUUUUCUCUCUUGUGGUCCAGAGCUUGAUCCAGGCACUACUCCAAAAGUAGCGCACUUAUAACUGCUUAGAGAGGCCUCCUAUUUAGAUCUUCUGAGAGGGAUUAUUGCAGCUCUAAUAGAGUUGAACACAUGGGCAUGGCUUAGGCACUGAGAGGUCCAAUUCUAGCUUAGUGAGGCUGAAAGAAAAGCUAACAGGGUAGCUGGGGGACUGUGAAGUCACUGUUUAGAUUUGGCUGGGGCCCGGGAGGGGCUUCCUUGUAGGACCCUAUGUAUCUGUUUAGUAGAGCCUUUGGAUUCUGAGAAUGAAGCCCUGCAAAGGAAUUUGAAGAUGACCUGGUCUCAUCGAGUGUCCUGUUUUAUGUGGAGAAAACAAGAUCUGGGGAGGUUAGGUGGCUUACCCAGGGGCCAGCUGAUAAAUAGUAGAGAUGGGCCUGGAGUCCAAAGCACCCUGAGAUACGGGCCAGUGUGCUUGUCCCAGCUCUGGACUCCCCUGUAAGCCUGUCAAAACAUUGUGCAAGGUCAUGAAGAAACUCUGAGGAAACUCUGCACUGACUUCUCGAAGCUACUAAGGUCAGCAGCAUGGCCUUUGGGGACAGGUCUACCAAUUUUUCCGAGCAUCAAGUAACUUUUAAAGGCAGUGUUUCUUUUUUUUUUUUUUCCUUCAAAGAUUUUAUCCAUUUAUUCAUGAGAGAC
RNA transcript from Canis lupus familiaris (dog), 7662 nucleotides. It is a transcript of the gene named C2 calcium dependent domain containing 4B, with no coding region annotated. The transcript has 3 exons. Lineage: Eukaryota; Metazoa; Chordata; Mammalia; Carnivora; Canidae. The record is from RefSeq and is a predicted model, not a curated record.